Long non-coding RNA from Patella vulgata (common limpet), 681 nucleotides. RefSeq lists it as uncharacterized. Lineage: Eukaryota; Metazoa; Mollusca; Gastropoda; Patellidae. The transcript has 4 exons. The record is from RefSeq and is a predicted model, not a curated record.
CAUACACCAAUUGUAUUAAUACUAUUAAAUGCUGGACCGCUUGAUUUGAGAUGGCCAGUAAAUGAAACAAAAGUGGUCUCCAUAUUGGAAAUAUUCUAUCCGUCCCAAGCCACGGGGGUAGCUUUAAGGAAUAUUUUGACAAUGAACGGUCUCUAUUCUGUUCCUGCUGGAAGAUUACCGUUUACAUGGCCUCUUUCUGAAGACCAGAUUCCACCAAUGGUAAACUAUUCUAUGGAAGGACGAACGUAUCGUUAUUUGAAUUCUGAACCGCUCUUUCCAUUUGGUUACGGUUUGUCUUAUACUAGUUUUGCCUAUUCAGAUUUGGAAUACACGAAUUCUAUUCCUGCAGGAAAUGACGUCAGUGGUUCAGUACAAGUUCGCAAUAUGGGCAGUAAUGGUGCCGAUGAGGUUAUACAAAUCUAUAUCACAUGGUUCAACUCAUCAGUACCAACACCAAACAUUCAGCUUGCAUAUUUUACUCGGGUAUUUAUUCCUCAACAAGGGUCAAGUAUAGUCCAAUUUACCAUUAAAGCUCACUCAAUGGCAGUAUGGAUGUCCAGCACUGGAUGGGUUAUCCAAGCAGGAACUUACGGUGUAUACGUUGGAGGUCAACAACCCAAUCAGAAGACGUCUGUUGGUUCUAAUGUAUUAAGUGGUCAAUUUAUAGUACAGGAAUCGCUG